GACGAACGCUGGCGGCGUGCUUAACACAUGCAAGUCGAGCGGUAAGGCCCUUUCGGGGGUACACGAGCGGCGAACGGGUGAGUAACACGUGGGUGACCUGCCCUUAGCUCUGGGAUAAGCCUGGGAAACUGGGUCUAAUACCGGAUAUGACUCCAUAACGCAUGUUGUGGGGUGGAAAGCCUUGUGCGGCUAGGGAUGGGCCCGCGGCCUAUCAGCUUGUUGGUGGGGUGAUGGCCACCAAGGCGACGACGGGUAGCCGGCCUGAGAGGGCGACCGGCCACACUGGGACUGAGGCACGGCCCAGACUCCUACGGGAGGCAGCAGUGGGGAAUCUUGCGCAAUGGGCGAAAGCCUGACGCAGCGACGCCGCGU
RNAcentral lists this ribosomal RNA (372 nucleotides) under uncultured bacterium. RNAcentral describes it as "bacterial SSU rRNA". It matches the Rfam family "Bacterial small subunit ribosomal RNA", at positions 28 to 402 of the family's 1533-position model. The record is from RNAcentral.